This 500-nucleotide ribosomal RNA is filed under the name uncultured bacterium. RNAcentral's name for it is "partial 16S ribosomal RNA". It matches the Rfam family "Bacterial small subunit ribosomal RNA", at positions 30 to 523 of the family's 1533-position model. The record is from RNAcentral.
AUUGAACGCUGGCGGCAGGCCUAACACAUGCAAGUCGAGCGGAUGAAGGGAGCUUGCUCCCUGAUUCAGCGGCGGACGGGUGAGUAAUGCCUAGGAAUCUGCCUGAUAGUGGGGGACAACGUUUCGAAAGGAACGCUAAUACCGCAUACGUCCUACGGGAGAAAGCAGGGGACCUUCGGGCCUUGCGCUAUCAGAUGAGCCCAGGUCGGAUUAGCUAGUUGGUGAGGUAAUGGCUCACCAAGGCGACGAUCCGUAACUGGUCUGAGAGGAUGAUCGAUCACACUGAAACUGAGACACGGUCCAGACACCGACGGGAGGCAGCAAUGGGGAAUAUUGGACAAUGGGCGAAAGGCUGAUCCAGCCAUGCUGCGGGUGUGAAGAAGGUCUGCGGAUUGUAAAGCACUUUAAGUUGGGAGGAAGGGUUGCUGAUUAAUACUCUGCAAUUUUGACGUUACCGACAGAAUAAGCACCGGCUAACUCUGUGCCAGCAGCCGCGGUAA